GAUGAACGCUAGCGGGAGGCUUAACACAUGCAAGUCGUGGGGCAGCACAGGUAGCAAUACUGGGUGGCGACCGGCGCACGGGUGAGUAACGCGUAUGCAACCUACCCUGUACAGGGGGGAUAGCCCGGAGAAAUUCGGAUUAAUACCCCAUAAAGAUAUUUAGAGGCAUCUUUGAAUAUUUAAAGUUUCGGCGGUACGGGAUGGGCAUGCGUAACAUUAGCUAGUUGGUAGGGUAACGGCCUACCAAGGCAACGAUGUUUAGGGGUCCUGAGAGGGUGAUCCCCCACACUGGUACUGAGACACGGACCAGACUCCUACGGGUGGCUG
RNAcentral lists this ribosomal RNA (327 nucleotides) under uncultured Bacteroidota bacterium. Its description in RNAcentral is "bacterial SSU rRNA". It matches the Rfam family "Bacterial small subunit ribosomal RNA", at positions 28 to 351 of the family's 1533-position model. Lineage: Bacteria; Pseudomonadati; Bacteroidota. The record is from RNAcentral.